UACAGAGGUCUCAAGCGUUGUUCGGAAUCACUGGGCGUAAAGGGUGCGUAGGCCGCACGGUAAGUCAGAGGUGAAAUCCCGGAGCUCAACUCCGGAAUGGCCUCCGAUACUGCCGUGCUCGAGGACUGGAGAGGAGUCUGGAAUUCACAGUGGAGCAGUGAAAUGCGUGGAUAUUGUGAGGAACACUAGUGGCGAAGGCGAGACUCUGGACAGUUCCUGACGCUGAGGCACGAAGGCCAGGGGAGCAAACGGG
This 253-nucleotide ribosomal RNA is filed under the name uncultured bacterium. Its description in RNAcentral is "partial 16S ribosomal RNA". It matches the Rfam family "Bacterial small subunit ribosomal RNA", at positions 524 to 776 of the family's 1533-position model. The record is from RNAcentral.